RNAcentral lists this ribosomal RNA (751 nucleotides) under Bacillus tropicus. RNAcentral describes it as "bacterial SSU rRNA". Lineage: Bacteria; Bacillati; Bacillota; Bacilli; Caryophanales; Bacillaceae. The record is from RNAcentral.
UGYAGUCGAGCGAAUGGAUUAAGAGCUUGCUCUUAUGAAGUUAGCGGCGGMCGGGUGAGUAACACGUGGGUAACCUGCCCAUAAGACUGGGAUAACUCCGGGAAACCGGGGCUAAUACCGGAUAAYAUUUUGAACYGCAUGGUUCGAAAUUGAAAGGCGGCUUCGGCUGUCACUUAUGGAUGGACCCGCGUCGCAUUAGCUAGUUGGUGAGGUAACGGCUCACCAAGGCRACGAUGCGUAGCCGACCUGAGAGGGUGAUCGGCCACACUGGGACUGAGACACGGCCCAGACUCCUACGGGAGGCAGCAGUAGGGAAUCUUCCGCAAUGGACGAAAGUCUGACGGAGCAACGCCGCGUGAGUGAUGAAGGCUUUCGGGUCGUAAAACUCUGUUGUUAGGGAAGAACAAGUGCUAGUUGAAUAAGCUGGCACCUUGACGGUACCUAACCAGAAAGCCACGGCUAACUACGUGCCAGCAGCCGCGGUAAUACGUAGGUGGCAAGCGUUAUCCGGAAUUAUUGGGCGUAAAGCGCGCGCAGGUGGUUUCUUAAGUCUGAUGUGAAAGCCCACGGCUCAACCGUGGAGGGUCAUUGGAAACUGGGAGACUUGAGUGCAGAAGAGGAAAGUGGAAUUCCAUGUGUAGCGGUGAAAUGCGUAGAGAUAUGGAGGAACACCAGUGGCGAAGGCGACUUUCUGGUCUGUAACUGACACUGAGGCGCGAAAGCGUGGGGAGCAAACAGGAUUAGAUACCCU